AGCGUUAUCCGGAGUGACUGGGCGUAAAGAGUUGCGUAGGCGGCUCGUUAAGCGUGAAAUGAAAUUUAUCGGCUCAACCGGUAAACUAUUUCGCGAACUGACGGGCUCGAGAGUAUGAGAGGUUACUGGAAUUUCUAGUGUAGCAGUGAAAUGCGUAGAUAUUAGAAAGAACGCCAACGGCGUAGGCAGGUAACUGGCAUACAUCUGACGCUGAGGCACGAAAGCGUGGGGAGCGAACCGGAUUAGAUACCCGGGUAGUCCACGCCGUAAACGAUGAAUGUUAAUUGUCGGAGGUAUCGACCCCUUCGGUAAUAAAGCUAACGCGUUAAACAUUCCGCCUGUGGAGUACGGCCGCAAGGCUAAAACAUAAAGGAAUUGACGGGGACCCGCACAAGCGGUGGAGCGUGUUCUUUAAUUCGAUGAUAAACGAAGAACCUUACCAGGGCUUGACAUCCCUAUAACCGAAAUACGAAAGUAUUUUUUCAUUUAGUUGGAUAGGUGACAGGUGAUGCAUGGCCGUCGUCAGCUCGUGUCGUGAGAUGUUUGGUUAAGUCCAUCAACGAGCGCAACCCUUGUCGUGUGUUGUAUUUUUCACACGAAACUGCCUCUGCAAGGAGGAGGAAGGGGGGGAUGAUGUCAGGUCAGUAUUUCCCUUACGUCCUGGGCUAGAAACGCGCUACAAUGGCCGGUACAACGGGCAGCGAAACAGCAAUGUGGAGCAAAUCCCAACAAAGCCGGUCCCAGUUCGGAUAAGAGGCUGAAACUCGCCUCUUUGAAGUCGGAAUCGCUAGUAAUCGCAGAUCAGCACGCUGCGGUGAAUACGUUCCCGGGUCUUGUACACACCGCCCGUCAAACCAUGAAAGUCAGGAGCACCCGACGUCCGAAUUUAUUUCGGCCUAAGGUGAGCUUGGUGAUUGGGGUUAAGUCGUAACAAGGUAACC
Molecule: ribosomal RNA, 941 nt
Filed under: uncultured Allobrachymonas sp.
Lineage: Bacteria; Pseudomonadati; Pseudomonadota; Betaproteobacteria; Burkholderiales; Comamonadaceae
Description: bacterial SSU rRNA
Rfam family: Bacterial small subunit ribosomal RNA
Source: RNAcentral